AGUAUAUGAAAUUUUACUUUGAGAAAAUUAGAGUGCUUAAAGCAGGCAUAUGCCUUGAAUACUCCAGCAUGGAAUAAUAUUAAAGAUUUUUAUCUUUCUUAUUGGUUCUAAGAUAAGAAUAAUGAUUAAUAGGGACAGUUGGGGGCAUUUGUAUUUAACAGUCAGAGGUGAAAUUCUUAGAUUUGUUAAAGACAAACUAAUGCGAAAGCAUUUGCCAAGGAUGUUUUCAUUAAUCAAGAACGAAAGUUAGGGGAUCGAAGACGAUCAGAUACCGUCGUAGUC
RNAcentral lists this ribosomal RNA (282 nucleotides) under Cryptosporidium hominis. RNAcentral's name for it is "partial 18S ribosomal RNA". It matches the Rfam family "Eukaryotic small subunit ribosomal RNA", at positions 739 to 1025 of the family's 1831-position model. The record is from RNAcentral. Lineage: Eukaryota; Apicomplexa; Conoidasida; Eucoccidiorida; Cryptosporidiidae.